UACGAAGGGGGCUAGCGUUGUUCGGAAUCACUGGGCGUAAAGCGCACGCAGGCGGAUUGAUAAGUCAGGGGUGAAAUCCCGGGGCUCAACCUCGGAAUUGCCUUUGAUACUGUCUGUCUUGAGUUCGGGAGAGGUUGGCGGAAUUCCUAGUGUAGAGGUGAAAUUCGUAGAUAUUAGGAAGAACACCAGUGGCGAAGGCGGCCAACUGGCCCGAUACUGACGCUGAGGCGCGAAAGCCAGGGGAGCGAACGGG
RNAcentral lists this ribosomal RNA (253 nucleotides) under uncultured bacterium. RNAcentral's name for it is "partial 16S ribosomal RNA". It matches the Rfam family "Bacterial small subunit ribosomal RNA", at positions 524 to 776 of the family's 1533-position model. The record is from RNAcentral.